AUACUUGUAUGUAUUUAUUAUCGUUGUGUGAAUGAAUAAACUGGUUAUACAGGUUUUUGAAGGUGAUAUAUGUCCAAUGGUGCGGAAAUCAAGAUUUCCUCGUGCACAGAUUUGUAGGUUUAGUCAUUCGACAGGCAAGCAGGGUACAGCGAAGACUUGAUUUAAAUCUUUUUAUUUAUUUUCUCAACCACAUUUCAUUGUGAAAUUUGAUUUAUUUUUGUGUCGUAUUGGCGUUGGUAAUUUAUUAAUAUGGACAGUCAGGAUGAGAGGAGAGAUCGUCUCGCCGGCGGGGACAGGGCUGGCACAGUAAAUGGACACACGUAGCGACCACGUGGUAGCGGUCAAGAAGGUAGGCCCUCGGGGAUAGAGGAGAAUUGUUUGACGUGUUUGGUUUACAUAUAAUACGCACAUUGUGAAGAAAAGUAUCAUUUCUCACGUUUUUCUCUUGUAAAUUGUAGUUUAAAGAGAGGCAUGUCCUUUUUUCGGAAAAUCAUUGGUGCCAAUCCUGAUAUAAUUGACUGUAUUGUCGGCGCUUACGCAUUACCAUUCUUAUAAUUACCUGAAAAAUGUGUAUCUGUAAAUAACCAAUCAGCUUUAAAGCAGAUAGAUUAGCAGAUAUUAACGAGUCGGUGCAGGAUAUGUAAAAUACUGGCUGUAUUGAAGAAUUAAAGGACAUCCCUCAUGUUGUUAGUCAAUCAAGUGUAGCCGUGAAUGAAGCCGGAAGCUGGAUUUGUAAUCAAUGAGGACAAGUCAAUAUAAGUACCAGUUCAGAGGCUAGAAUGGGUAGGAUUAAUCUGGGAUAGCCAAAUGUUUUCUUUUGAAAUUCUCGAUAGAAGAAUAACUGAUUUUAAAAAUACUCUUUUAAAGGUAUUUUCUUCCAUGCCAAUGGUUUCGGCAAGGGAUUUAGCUAGAUGUACGGGGAAAAUUGUUUCAAUGAUGCCUGUUAUUGGUAGUCUGGCUAGGUAAAGAUUAGAUAUCUUUAUUAUGAAAUCGUUUCUAGACCGUCAAUGCAUAGAGUUAUAGCCCUUGAACCAGAUAGCUUAUUUAUUUCCGAAUUUAGAUUUUGGUUAGGUCGCAUAGAUGGCAUACAAUCAAGACAUUUUAGUAAAACUACUUGUGUCGAAGUUUUAAAAGUUUACAGUGAUGCAAGUGGUUUUGCCGGUGGGGCUUAUAUUGUUGAUAUGUCAGGUUUUAUUUUUCACGAUAUAUGGUCAAAUGACGAUUGCAAUACAAGUUCUACUUAUAGAAUACUAAAUGGAGUAGUUCUAGUUUUACGUGCCUAUGGGAUUUUUUAAGGGUGGGGGGCUGUUAAGAGGUUUUCUGACUCUGAAUCACGUGUAAAGUUGGUAAAGGUAGGAAGUUCUAAAAUUGAGUAACAUGAUCUAGCACUAAGCAUUUUAGUAUGUGCUUGAAGAUGAAUAUAGGACUAGAAAUACAAUGAAUUCCAAGAGAAUUAAACUCCAUUGCCAGUAUAAGUAAAAUGAGCAAUUCAGAUGAAUGGUAAAUCUCACGAGAUUUCUUUGAGUAUUUAAAUGGUAGCUCGGGUCCGAUUUUGAUUGAUCGCUUGGCUACUGUUAAAAAUGGAAAUACUUUGAUCUUGAAACAGAAGCAGAUUGCUUUACACAGUUUUGGGGUGCCGAUUUGAGUUGGUUGAUGCCCCUAUUUAUCUCGUAGGAAAAACAAUUUUGCACUUUCUAGAAUGCAACGCAUAUGGCGUUUUGGUGGUACACAGAUGGCCUAGUGCAGCAUUUUGGCCAUUCUUAUUUGAGGCUGGUAAUGUACAAAUGCACUUUGAGAAUGAUAUUAUUGUGUUUGACAAAGGGCAAACUAUUUGUAUGAGUAAUAACCACUCUGUUUCAGUUCAAGACCUUUUUCAAGAAAUGUUCUUGCUAUUCGAAUUUAACUAUACUAUAUGUCGUUUAUAUGUGAAUCGGUGAUAUGAAUGGUUUGACUGUUUUGCUAUACUUAUGGUAUAGUUGGGAUUUUUCACGUGUUUAUAUGUGUGGAAAUGAUUAAAUGGAUGUUGUUUUUGUAUAGCCAUUAAGUAUGUAUAGAAACCAUGUUGGUGUAUGUCCGUUUGCACCUGGUGCCUACGAAGUCGUGUACAGUACACGAGGAAUGGAAUAUUUGCAAAAAAGAAAGCAAAAACAGUACUUGCAAAAAAAAAAGCAAGGGUUAAAAAUAAUAGUUUUAAAAGUAUAAUACUUGCAAAAAAGUUAGCAAGGGUAAUAUUUAUUUCAAAUUGGAAAAUACUUGCAAAAAAGAAAGCAAGGGAAACGGUUUUGUGACAGAAAGUCAAUUUAAAAUGUUGGUGUGUGUGUUUCAUGUCUGUCUGCCUCUGGGGUAGACGCGAUUGUGUGUGGCAUUUCGUGGGCUCAUGGGGUUGUGGGAUCGUGUGGUCGUUGUAAUUCUGGUCUGGUUGUGUUUUCUGAUGAUGGAUUGAAAAGGGCCAAUUCUGGGCCGCUGGUUCGGAGGUGCUUAGUGACUAAAGCGGAUGUGUAGAGGCUUUGAUUCUUUGAUGUGAGAUGUGUAACGGUGUGUUUGGUGCGUUUUUUGGGGGGGUUUGGGGACUUUGAAUUGAAAGGAUGCGAUACAAGAUUUUUGAGGAUUGUGCUAUAAUUAUUAUUUUCAAUAGUAAAAUGGUUCAAUUGUGCAAGGGCGAACAGGUUUUGACAUUUUGUAAAACAAAUGCAGUUUUAUGCCCUGUCUUCUACUUGAAAAAAUGUAUCUUGGUUAAAACUAUUCUAGAUAUUGCAAUAUAUGUUUCGUUUAGAAACAUAACAAAUGGUAAGAAAAUGAAUAAAUACAUUUUAGUUGGCUCAAAGCAGAUGAGUUACAGUAGACAAUUAGAUAUUUUGCACCACAUCUUUAGUGAAAUUUGACUUAAACCUAAUGUUUACGGGUUGCAUUAAUUUCGGUCAGGGGAAGCAACUGCUGUUGCAAAUAGCGGUGUAUCUGAUAGUGUUAAAAAAGCAUGGGCAGUGGAAGACUGUUGGCGCUUAGGAUCACUGCGUGAGAGAUUCGGAUGAAACACAAACAAUUGUUACUUCUCGUUUGGAUUUGUAAAUAUAUAUGGUACUUGGUGUUGUAUGUUGUUAGUUGUGCGUUGUUUUUUUUGCCCCGUUCUUUUUCGGUCGAUAAAAUACCCUGCUUGUCAUGACACCUAAACAAAUGUGUUUGUUUUUAUUCUAAAUGGUUAGAUGAUAAAUAAUUUAUGUUUGUAAUAAAAUGUAAUGGAAUAUAAAACAUAAAUGUAUUUAUUAUCGUUGUGUGAAUGAAUAAACUGGUUAUACAGGUUUUUGAAGGUGAUAUAUGUCCAAUGGUGCGGAAAUCAAGAUUUCCUCGUGCACAGAUUUGUAGGUUUAGUCAUUCGACAGGCAAGCAGGGUAGAGCGAAGACUUGAUUUAAAUCGUUUUAUUUAUUUAUGCUCUGUUUGUGUGUUGAUGUUAAUAUUAUGUUUUAUGUGUUUCAGUGAGUUUUAUGAGAGCAGACGGAUGACUGACUUGAGAUAGAAAGGGGCAUUGGUUCCAGACAUUUUACCAUGGGAUUUACAUAGUUUUCUAAAAAGAAUACUUAACGUUUACGAUAUAGUAACAGCUGAUUAUUUGUAGAUUUCUCUAAAAUUAGAGGUUUCAGGAGGUGAUGAAGGCACCUAGACACCGGUCUUGAGCCAUGGGUCCUCAUACGUCCCCCUGCCAUUAUAAGAAAAAUGAAAAAUGAGCAGUAGGGUUGCGUAUCCCGCUCGCAGUUUCACCUGAAUCGUUCGUUACCACCGAUUAUUGUUUGGGGUGUACGUGAAGUCAUGUGCACUUCUCUUAAUUGAUGGUAAUGAAUAAAUCUUGUAAUUAUCGCAGCUGUUUUAUCAAAACUAAUGCUUCACUUUAUGUACUUUUCGCAAAUAGGCGUUGUGGAUGGGCAUAGGGGGCGUCCUCGGUGCGCUUUGGGCAUCGGCGGCGGACGGGCGGUUGUUAGGGCCGUGGCGUCCUUGUUUGGGCUUGUGAUUUUGAAUUGUGUAGUUAAAUUGUGCAAUUGUAUGAUUUUGAGUUUAGGCUUGACGUCUGAUGGGUAUUAAAAAUA
Molecule: long non-coding RNA, 4077 nt
Organism: Dreissena polymorpha
Lineage: Eukaryota; Metazoa; Mollusca; Bivalvia; Myida; Dreissenidae
Exons: 2
Source: RefSeq, a predicted model, not a curated record